GGUCUCGUAGUGUAGCGGUUAACACGCCUGCCUGUCACGCAGGAGAUCGCGGGUUCGAUCAUGUGUCGGCAGUUCGACUCUGUCCUGAACCA
Molecule: transfer RNA, 92 nt
Filed under: Mycobacteroides abscessus subsp. massiliense
Lineage: Bacteria; Bacillati; Actinomycetota; Actinomycetes; Mycobacteriales; Mycobacteriaceae
Description: tRNA-Asp(gtc)
Rfam family: tRNA
About the family: Transfer RNA (tRNA) molecules are approximately 80 nucleotides in length. Their secondary structure includes four short double-helical elements and three loops (D, anti-codon, and T loops). Further hydrogen bonds mediate the characteristic L-shaped molecular structure. tRNAs have two regions of fundamental functional importance: the anti-codon, which is responsible for specific mRNA codon recognition, and the 3' end, to which the tRNAs corresponding amino acid is attached (by aminoacyl-tRNA synthetases). tRNAs cope with the degeneracy of the genetic code in two manners: having more than one tRNA (with a specific anti-codon) for a particular amino acid; and 'wobble' base-pairing, i.e. permitting non-standard base-pairing at the 3rd anti-codon position.
Source: RNAcentral